Long non-coding RNA from Octopus sinensis (East Asian common octopus), 205 nucleotides. RefSeq lists it as uncharacterized. The transcript is spliced from 3 exons. NCBI's taxonomy places the organism in Eukaryota, Metazoa, Mollusca, Cephalopoda, Octopoda, Octopodidae. The record is from RefSeq and is a predicted model, not a curated record.
AGCAGUAGUGGUGUCAUUGAGACCCAAAGAGUGGCAGGUAAUGCUAAGUAAGUGCUAAGGACAGACCAUAGUUAAACUUUUGGGUCGAUCAUGAUACGAUUGAAGAGUUUAGUGUGGGUCUUGUAUUAGCCUGAUUAUAUAUAUAUAUAUUCGACAAAAACAGAUAACAGCUUUGUUAUCUGUUUUUAUUGAAUAUAUAUAUAUA